RNAcentral lists this ribosomal RNA (977 nucleotides) under human gut metagenome. RNAcentral's name for it is "bacterial LSU rRNA". It matches the Rfam family "Bacterial large subunit ribosomal RNA", at positions 1950 to 2925 of the family's 2925-position model. The record is from RNAcentral.
CCUAAGGUAGCGAAAUUCCUUGUCAGGUAAGUUCUGACCCGCACGAAUGGCGUAAUGAUUUGGGCACUGUCUCAACAGCCCGCCCGGCGAAAUUGUAGUACUGGUGAAGAUGCCAGUUACCCGCAACUAGACGGAAAGACCCCAUGGAGCUUUACUGCAGCUUAAUACUGAAAUUCGGUAGUACAUGUACAGGAUAGGUGGGAGACUGAGAAAUACAGGCGUCAGCUUGUAUGGAGUCGCUGUUGGGAUACCACUCUUGUACUGCUGGGUUUCUAACCUGCGGCCGUGAAUCCGGUCGGGGGACACUGUUAGGCGGGCAGUUUGACUGGGGCGGUCGCCUCCCAAAAGGUAACGGAGGCGCUCAAAGGUUCGUUCAGCACGGACGGAAAUCGUGCAAUGAGUGUAAACGCAUAAACGAGCCUAACUGCGACACCGACGGGUGGAGCAGUAACGAAAGUUGGAGUUAGUGAUCCGGUGGUAUGUGAGUGGAAAUGCCAUCGCUCAACGGAUAAAAGCUACCCUGGGGAUAACAGGCUGAUCUCCCCCAAGCGUCCACAGCGACGGGGAGGUUUGGCACCUCGAUGUCGGCUCGUCGCAUCCUGGGGCUGAAUUCGGUCCCAAGGGUUUGGCUGUUCGCCAAUUAAAGCGGCACGCGAGCUGGGUUCAGAACGUCGUGAGACAGUUCGGUCCCUAUCUGUUGCGGGCGUAAGAGAUUUGAAGGGAGCUGUCCUUAGUACGAGAGGACCGGGAUGGACGUACCUCUGGUGCACCAGUUGUCCUGCCAAGGGCAUAGCUGGGUAGCUAUGUACGGACGAGAUAAACGCUGAAAGCAUCUAAGCGUGAAACUCCCCCUAAGAUGAGAUCUCUCAUCCUUCAAGGAGUAAGGACCCAGAAAGACGAUCUGGUUGAUAGGCCGAAGGUGGAAGCGCAGUAAUGUGUGCAGCUGAUCGGUACUAAUAGUCCGAGGGCUUGACCUA